AGAGGAUUUCUAUAUUCAACAGAGUAACUGAGAUUUUAUGAUUCUCUCUAGAUUCAUCAUCGUUUUUCAUAGUUAUAGAUCUAAAUCAUCAGAUUUAAACUUAACGGUGAUAGUAAUCAUUAGUAUUGAUCGAUUCAGGAUCAUUAUGUAUAUGUUGGUGUCGAUGAACCAGGCUUCAUUACCCCAAACAUCAUCUUCAUCGUGAUGUAAAUCUCAGGUUUUUGGGGAUGACGAUGAUGAACAUUCGGAAAGCACAUGUCUAACUGGGCACUCGCAAAGCACCGACGUCUGAGAAAGUUGUUUGAUGACAAGGAUGCCAGGCCGAAAUGUCCUCGAAGAUGGGUUAUUCUUCCUCCAUUCCUAUGAAAAUUUCAGUGAGAAACCUGCCUCCAGUUGGUAUCCAGUUACAAAGUAAGAUUAGUGAAUGCUCAGUACUCUCUGAAUAUAAACUGAUUCAUGUUGAUUAAGUCUAUUUCCGAUUCUGUAUCCUUAUCAUGUCUUACCAAAUUCCUAGUUAAUCUGAAUUAGAUCAGAUUCUACAGGUUUUGCAGAAAAGUUAGACCUUCAAUUUCUUGUUGUUAAAGUAGAGAUUGCAUUUUAUUCGUGUAACUUACUGUA
Papaver somniferum (opium poppy) is the source of this 618-nucleotide long non-coding RNA. RefSeq lists it as uncharacterized. The record is from RefSeq and is a predicted model, not a curated record. NCBI's taxonomy places the organism in Eukaryota, Viridiplantae, Streptophyta, Magnoliopsida, Ranunculales, Papaveraceae. The transcript has 3 exons.